Molecule: ribosomal RNA, 488 nt
Filed under: Fusarium solani
Lineage: Eukaryota; Fungi; Ascomycota; Sordariomycetes; Hypocreales; Nectriaceae
Description: eukaryotic LSU rRNA
Rfam family: 5.8S ribosomal RNA (bases 98-251)
Source: RNAcentral
GGGACAGACGGCCCCGUAACACGGGCCGCCCCCGCCAGAGGACCCCCUAACUCUGUUUCUAUAAUGUUUCUUCUGAGUAAACAAGCAAAUAAAUUAAAACUUUCAACAACGGAUCUCUUGGCUCUGGCAUCGAUGAAGAACGCAGCGAAAUGCGAUAAGUAAUGUGAAUUGCAGAAUUCAGUGAAUCAUCGAAUCUUUGAACGCACAUUGCGCCCGCCAGUAUUCUGGCGGGCAUGCCUGUUCGAGCGUCAUUACAACCCUCAGGCCCCCGGGCCUGGCGUUGGGGAUCGGCGGAAGCCCCCUGCGGGCACAACGCCGUCCCCCAAAUACAGUGGCGGUCCCGCCGCAGCUUCCAUUGCGUAGUAGCUAACACCUCGCAACUGGAGAGCGGCGCGGCCACGCCGUAAAACACCCAACUUCUGAAUGUUGACCUCGAAUCAGGUAGGANUACCCGCUGAACUUAAGCAUAUCAUUAAGCGGGAGGAAAA